This 369-nucleotide ribosomal RNA is filed under the name uncultured organism. RNAcentral's name for it is "bacterial SSU rRNA". It matches the Rfam family "Bacterial small subunit ribosomal RNA", at positions 526 to 896 of the family's 1533-position model. The record is from RNAcentral.
CGAAGGGUGCUAGCGUUGUUCGGAAUUACUGGGCGUAAAGCGCGCGUAGGCGGCUAUUCAAGUCAGGGGUGAAAUCCUUGGGCUCAACCCAAGAAUUGCCUUUGAAACUGUAUAGCUAGAGUGUCGGAGGGGAUAGCGGAAUUCCUAAUGUAGAGGUGAAAUUCGUAGAUAUUAGGAGGAACACCGGUGGCGAAGGCGGCUAUCUGGACGACAACUGACGCUGAGGCGCGAAAGCACGGGGAUCAAACAGGAUUAGAUACCCUGGUAGUCCGUGCUGUAAACGAUGGAUGCUAGCCGUUCGGGGGUUACCCCUGAGUGGCGCAGCUAACGCGUUAAGCAUCCCGCCUGGGGAGUACGGUCGCAAGAUUA